GGGAAACAGCAGAUGGUCAAGACAGUUAUACUGACCUUACAUCAAACCAAGCAGAUGUCAUCCAUGUGCCAAAUAUGGCACGCCAUUAGCUCAGGCAUGAACAGGAACGUUACAAAAUCAUAUCUUAUGAAAGGCUUGUUGUGAAAGCUAGCCAGUGUUACAGUUUUAAGGGUGACCGUGUUUACUGGUGACUUUAUGCCGAAUGCGUCUGUGGUUGUCGUAGCUCCGAAAGUGUCUCAAUGACUGCCUUUCUGUACAGUCUUUUAAUUUGAACGUUCACAUAUACGAAUCGUAUGUCUCUAAAGACAAAAUAAACAAUACAUUCAUUUAGGCUCUCCUUGUCUUCAACAGAUGAUUUAACUGCGACAGCACGGAACGCAUACCGGUAGGUCUGAAAGACGCCAGUCAACAUGGUCACCAGUUUAACCAUAACACCACUGCUGCAGCGUCUUAUGACGUCAUGUUGGAAAGGCAGCCGUGGUCAGAAGUGACUUGUUCGCACGACCUGCAUGAACUUUUACAAGAUGUCCGGCUACAAGAGUCAUUUUAGCAAAGUUCCUCUGGCAGGUUAGCCAGGAAAGCUGCCACAAAUGUCACCGAGAAAGCUCCUUUAAGAGUUCGCUUUUCGAAGUCCCACAGUGAUGCUGCUGCUCUCCAUCAAUAUAGGAAGCAUUUGAGAUCACCUCUGUUCACACAGUGAACUCCCUGUGUGAUUUAAUGGGCCGCCUGUUUGUGAUCCUCCUGCAGAACAGCCAGCUGACUCACAGACUGAAUCUCUUCAGUAAGCUGCAGGAAAACAAGUCAAGUUUUCAAGCCCGCAGAAGACCUGCUCCUUUAGAGGUGGGCUGCACUCUGCGCCGAUAUGUUGAGCUACAUGUGGACAGAAAAAGGCAAGUGCAAUACUUGGAGGAUAGAGCCUGAC
This is a long non-coding RNA of Cheilinus undulatus (humphead wrasse), 922 nucleotides long. RefSeq lists it as uncharacterized. The record is from RefSeq and is a predicted model, not a curated record. NCBI's taxonomy places the organism in Eukaryota, Metazoa, Chordata, Actinopteri, Labriformes, Labridae. The transcript is spliced from 5 exons.